This 754-nucleotide ribosomal RNA is filed under the name Macrobrachium idae. RNAcentral describes it as "bacterial SSU rRNA". It matches the Rfam family "Eukaryotic small subunit ribosomal RNA", at positions 547 to 1268 of the family's 1831-position model. Lineage: Eukaryota; Metazoa; Arthropoda; Malacostraca; Decapoda; Palaemonidae. The record is from RNAcentral.
AUUGGAGGGCAAGUCUGGUGCCAGCAGCCGCGGUAAUUCCAGCUCCAAUAGCGUAUAUUAAAGUUGUUGCGGUUAAAAAGCUCGUAGUUCGAGUUCAGUUUCGGACUGGGGUGGGAGGUCACCGCCCGGUGCUUUCCCCCUAGGCUCCGAACAGCUUCCGUGAGUGGAAGCCAAGCCGGUUCUGGCGGGGUGCUCUUUACCGAGUGUGCCGUGCGGCCGGCCAGUUCACCUUGAAUAAAUGAGAGUGCUCAAAGCAGGCUACUCUAGAAUACAAUGCCCGAAUGUUAACUGCAUGGAAUGAUGGAAGAUGAUCUGGGUUCCAUUUUGUUGGUGGUGGGAGCCCCAGGUAAUGAUAAAGAGGGACUGUCGGGGGCAUCCGUACUACGACGCGAGAGGUGAAAUUCAGUGACCGUCGUAGGACGAACAACAGCGAAAGCAUUUGCCAAGAAUGUCUUCGUUGAUCAAGAACGAAAGUUAGAGGAUCGAAGGCGAUCAGAUACCGCCCUAGUUCUAACCCUAAACGAUGCUGACCAGCAAUUCGCCGUCGUUAUUCCCAUGACGUGGCGAGACGCCCCCGGGAAACCUCAAGUUUUUGAGUUCCGGGGGUAGUAUGGUUGCAAAAGUGAAACUUAAAGGAAUUGACGGAAGGGCACCACCANGAGUGGAGCCUGCGGCUUAAUUUGACUCAACACGGGAAAGCUCACCAGGCCCGGACACCAGAAGGAUUGACAGAUUAAGAGCUCUUNCUCGAUUU